RNAcentral lists this ribosomal RNA (410 nucleotides) under uncultured bacterium. RNAcentral's name for it is "bacterial SSU rRNA". It matches the Rfam family "Bacterial small subunit ribosomal RNA", at positions 954 to 1369 of the family's 1533-position model. The record is from RNAcentral.
UGGGAACGCGAAGAACCUUACCUGGACUUGACAUACCCUGAAUAUCUUAGAGAUAAGAGAAGCCCUUCGGGCGAGGGAUACAGGUGGUGCAUGGUUGUCGUCAGCUCGUGUCGUGAGAUGUUGGGUUAAGUCCCGCAACGAGCGCAACCCCUACUUGUUAGUCGCUACGCAAGAGCACUCUAGCGAGACUGCCGUUGACAAAACGGAAGGGAGGUGGGGCGACGUCAAAUCAUCAUGCCCCUUACUGUCCUGGGCCACACACGUAAUACAAUGGCGGUCAACAGAGGGAUGCUAAGCCGUGAGGUGGAGCGAACCCCUAAAAGCCGUCUCAGUUCGGAUUGCAGGCUGCAACUCGCCUGCAUGAAGUCGGAAUCGCUAGUAACCGCGGAUCAGCAUGCCGCGGUGAAUAC